UACGUAGGCAGCAAGCGUUGUUCGGAGUUACUGGGCGUAAAGGGUGUGUAGGCGGUUCUUUAAGUUUGGGGUGAAAUCUCCCGGCUCAACUGGGAGGGUGCGCCGAAUACUGAGGGACUAGAGUACGGGAGAGGAAAGUGGAAUUCCUGGUGUAGCGGUGAAAUGCGCAGAUAUCGGGAGGAACACCAGUAGCGAAGGCGGCACUCUGGGCCGGAACUGACGCUGAGGAGCGAAAGCGUGGGGAGCGAACAGG
Molecule: ribosomal RNA, 253 nt
Filed under: uncultured bacterium
Lineage: Bacteria
Description: partial 16S ribosomal RNA
Rfam family: Bacterial small subunit ribosomal RNA
Source: RNAcentral